This 484-nucleotide ribosomal RNA is filed under the name uncultured organism. RNAcentral describes it as "bacterial SSU rRNA". It matches the Rfam family "Bacterial small subunit ribosomal RNA", at positions 30 to 507 of the family's 1533-position model. The record is from RNAcentral.
AUUGAACGCUAGCGGGAUGCCUUACACAUGCAAGUCGAACGGCAGCACGGACUUCGGUCUGGUGGCGAGUGGCGAACGGGUGAGUAAUGUAUCGGAACGUGCCCAGUAGCGGGGGAUAACUACGCGAAAGCGUAGCUAAUACCGCAUACGCCCUACGGGGGAAAGCAGGGGAUCGCAAGACCUUGCACUAUUGGAGCGGCCGAUAUCGGAUUAGCUAGUUGGUGGGGUAACGGCUCACCAAGGCGACGAUCCGUAGCUGGUUUGAGAGGACGACCAGCCACACUGGGACUGAGACACGGCCCAGACUCCUACGGGAGGCAGCAGUGGGGAAUUUUGGACAAUGGGGGAAACCCUGAUCCAGCCAUCCCGCGUGUGCGAUGAAGGCCUUCGGGUUGUAAAGCACUUUUGGCAGGAAAGAAACGUCAUGGGUUAAUACCCCGUGAAACUGACGGUACCUGCAGAAUAAGCACCGGCUAACUACGUG